Molecule: ribosomal RNA, 271 nt
Filed under: uncultured bacterium
Lineage: Bacteria
Description: partial 16S ribosomal RNA
Rfam family: Bacterial small subunit ribosomal RNA
Source: RNAcentral
UACGUAGGGGGCGAGCGUUGUCCGGAAUUAUUGGGCGUAAAGAGCGUGUAGGCUGUUCGGUAAGUCUGCCGUGAAAACCUGAGGCUCAACCUCGGGCGUGCGGUGGAUACUGCCGGGCUAGAGGACGGUAGAGGCGAGUGGAAUUCCUGGUGUAGCGGUGGAAUGCGCAGAUAUCAGGAGGAACACCGAUAGCGAAGGCAGCUCGCUGGGACGGAACUGACGCUGAGGCGCGAAAGCGUGGGGAGCGAACAGGAUUAGAUACCCGGGUAGU